Molecule: non-coding RNA, 24 nt
Filed under: Arabidopsis thaliana (thale cress)
Lineage: Eukaryota; Viridiplantae; Streptophyta; Magnoliopsida; Brassicales; Brassicaceae
Source: RNAcentral
GAUGAUGUUUGUUGAAUUAUUGGU